UAAGGAAUAUUGGUCAAUGGACGCAAGUCUGAACCAGCCAUGCCGCGUGGAGGAUGAAGGCCCUCUGGGUUGUAAACUUCUUUUAUCUGGGAAGAAACCCAUCUUUUCUAAGGUGGUUGACGGUACCAGUUGAAUAAGCACCGGCUAACUCCGUGCCAGCAGCCGCGGUAAUACGGAGGGUGCAAGCGUUAUCCGGAUUCACUGGGUUUAAAGGGUGCGUAGGUGGGCAGGUAAGUCAGUGGUGAAAUCUCCGGGCUUAACCCGGAAACUGCCGUUGAUACUAUCUGUCUUGAAUAUAGUGGAGGUGAGCGGAAUAUGUCAUGUAGCGGUGAAAUGCUUAGAUAUGACAUAGAACACCCAUUGCGAAGGCAGCUCGCUACACUAUCAUUGACACUGAGGCACGAAAGCGUGGGGAUCAAACAG
Molecule: ribosomal RNA, 423 nt
Filed under: uncultured bacterium
Lineage: Bacteria
Description: bacterial SSU rRNA
Rfam family: Bacterial small subunit ribosomal RNA
Source: RNAcentral